GAUGAACGCUGGCGGCGUGCCUAAUACAUGCAAGUCGAGCGAACAGACGAGGAGCUUGCUCCUCUGACGUUAGCGGCGGACGGGUGAGUAACACGUGGAUAACCUACCUAUAAGACUGGGAUAACUUCGGGAAACCGGAGCUAAUACCGGAUAAUAUAUUGAACCGCAUGGUUCAAUAGUGAAAGACGGUUUUGCUGUCACUUAUAGAUGGAUCCGCGCCGCAUUGCUAGUUGGUAAGGUAACGGCUUACCAAGGCAACGAUGCGUAGCCGACCUGAGAGGGUGAUCGGCCACACUGGAACCGAGACACGGUCCAGACUCCUACGGGAGGCAGCAGUAGGGAAUCUUCCGCAAUGGGCGAAAGCCUGACGGAGCAACGCCGCGUGAGUGAUGAAGGUCUUCGGAUCGUAAAACUCUGUUAUUAGGGAAGAACAAAUGUGUAAGUAACUAUGCACGUCUUGACGGUACCUAAUCAGAAAGCCACGGCUAACUACGUG
This 496-nucleotide ribosomal RNA is filed under the name uncultured bacterium. Its description in RNAcentral is "partial 16S ribosomal RNA". It matches the Rfam family "Bacterial small subunit ribosomal RNA", at positions 28 to 507 of the family's 1533-position model. The record is from RNAcentral.